Molecule: regulatory RNA element, 97 nt
Organism: Lactonifactor longoviformis DSM 17459
Lineage: Bacteria; Bacillati; Bacillota; Clostridia; Eubacteriales; Clostridiaceae
Rfam family: NiCo (Nickel/Cobalt) riboswitch aptamer
Source: Rfam
ACAGUACAAACUGAGCAGGCGAUAAAUGGAUGAACCAUUUGUGGGGCCGGGUCGCGCGUAUGCGACAGCAGAUGUAAGCAGCAUCUGCGGGACAGUA